GGACCUAAGCUGAGGCCGAAAGGCGUAGGUGAUGGACAACAGGUUGAUAUUCCUGUACUACCGAUAACCGUUUGAGAGAAGGGAUGACACAGUAGGAUAAGCUAAGCACACUGUUGGUUAUGUGUGCCCAAGCAUUGAGGCAGUCAAAGUAGGCAAAUCCGCUUUGAUAAUACUGGGAUGUGAUGGGGAGCGAAAUUUAGUAGCGAAGUAGCUGAUUUCACACUGUCAAGAAAAGUCUCUAUCGAGGUUAAAGGUACCCGUACCGCAAACCGACACA
RNAcentral lists this ribosomal RNA (277 nucleotides) under Clostridioides difficile. Its description in RNAcentral is "partial 23S ribosomal RNA". It matches the Rfam family "Bacterial large subunit ribosomal RNA", at positions 1387 to 1661 of the family's 2925-position model. Lineage: Bacteria; Bacillati; Bacillota; Clostridia; Peptostreptococcales; Peptostreptococcaceae. The record is from RNAcentral.